This is a long non-coding RNA of Haliotis rubra (blacklip abalone), 929 nucleotides long. RefSeq lists it as uncharacterized. The transcript has 6 exons. The record is from RefSeq and is a predicted model, not a curated record. NCBI's taxonomy places the organism in Eukaryota, Metazoa, Mollusca, Gastropoda, Lepetellida, Haliotidae.
UUAGAGAUAUAACACAAGGUAACUUCAGGUCACAGGGUUCACAUUUCAGCACGUGUCACUGACGCAGUCCACUGAUGCCAACUCAUUAAGAUACUGUUCAUUGAAAGUCAUGUGAGGAUAUAUCCUCCUUGAAAAUUUGGUCGCACUUGCCAAGAUGUCAACCCCAGCGGACAUAGGAAAGGCGGGACAAUUUUCUUACGACUUGAUAGAUGUGGAUGGAGUUCUUCACAUGGCCUUGAUUGCAGAGAGGUUAAGAACUAUGAAACAGCGUCCCCUCCGGCAAGAUGAUAUCUUACUGUGUACAUUCCCUAAGUCAGGUACACACUGGACGUGGGAGAUCAUCAACAUGAUCGUGGCAGGGAAGGCCGAGUACACCAAACACUGGCAGAACUCAGCCUACCUGGAAUACCGGACGGAGGAAGAACUGGAGACACUGGCAUCACCACGGGUCCUCCACACUCAUUUACUGCCACGGCAGCUGCCCGAAUCGGUGUGGAAGCUGGGAUGUUAGAUUGUGUUCGUCCAGAGGAACCCCAAGGACUGUGCUGUGUCCUGCUUUUGUCAAGACAGCAGCCAGGUCUGGAAGGACGACGCCAAAGACACGGUCGGCUUUACAGGGACAUGGGACGACUACCUAACCUGUUACCAGGAUGGUUACAUGGCGCAUGGAUCGAUAUUUAAUUACAUUCGUGAUUGGUGGAAAACGGCUGAACAAUACAGUAUAUGUCAUGUCCAGUAUAAAGACAUGAAACAGAAUUGUGUGAACGAGGUAAGAAGAAUGGCUGAAUAUCUUGACCGCCCUUUGCCGGAGAAAACGUACGUGGAAAUAGCAGAGGCGUGUUCUUUCAGCAAACUGAAACACGCCAACGAGAAGAUCAAGGACCAAACCUACCACUUCCAGUGGCAACAGGGAACAAGUGGAUACUUCA